UCCGUAUUGCUACGGCAGUUUCGUUAGAGUGAUACAACUAACGAUAGGGGUUGCGCUCGUUAACCCACUAAAGGGUACGCCUCACGGUACGAGCUGACGACAGCCAUGCAACACCUGUGUAUGCUUCAACUUUCGUUGAUCGUCCGCCUUUCAGCUUCCUACUACAUACAUGUCAAACCCUGGUAAGGUUCUUGGGUUAUCAGCCAAUUAAAGAGCAUGCUCCACCGCUUGUGCGGGUCCCCGCCAAUUCCUUUGAGUUUUAGCCUUGCGGCCGUACUACCCAGGCGGUCCGCUUAACGCGUUAGCUUCGACACCCACUUGCGCAGGCAUCUAGCGGACAUAGUUUACGGCGUGGAGUAC
Molecule: unclassified non-coding RNA, 360 nt
Filed under: uncultured bacterium
Lineage: Bacteria
Description: contains 16S-23S intergenic spacer region
Source: RNAcentral